CGCACUAGGCGACUCCAACACCUCCAUCUCAUCCAUCCCAACCCGAUGAAGAGGCCAAGCCGCCACCUACGGCCAGCCCUCGGGCCGUCUUGCUUGACCACGCUCAGGGUGCGCCGCCGGCUCUCGAGGCCUCUUGCUCCGACCCCACAUAGGGCGCGCAAGCGACUGGGGCCGAGGAGGAGACCCAGGUGGAGCACGCCAUCUCUGUCGACCGGAGGAGCACCAGGUAUUUCACUCAAAUAGUCGACGCCGCGAGAGGGAGAUAGAAGUAGAAGUGGAGGCAGAAGCAAGAGGAAGGUGGACCUCGAGGUGUCGCGGCGCUCGGGCCUUGGUAGACUACGCCGCCCCUUUGCUCUCGCGCCGCCAGGGCCCUCUUGCUCUCAGGUUCCUCUCUCUCUCUCUCUCUAUCUCUCUCUCUCUCUCUCUCUCUCUCUCUCCUAUGCAUCUCCAUCAAUGGCCACUGUCUGAUUUGUUGUUGAUUUGGUAGGACAAUCUUGGCUGACUACUUGGUCCUGCUGUGGUUGGUUCCGGAUCUGACUGCACACCUCCCGUCCGUUGUCCGCCGUUUGCUCGCUGGCCGCCAUUAGAAAGGUUCGUUCUUCCAUCCUUGUUUCUCCUUCCAGACGUCCCGCUCUUCGCACCUCAUGCAUGUUUGUUGGUUUCGGCUGCACAGGGUGGUUGUGAGGGUUUGGUGCCAGGGUCAUUGAUGGGUCAGUGGUUGUUGUUCCUUCAAAUUUAAUCGUCCUUCCUCCUGCAUCUCUGGCUAAGGUGCUUAUCUUCAUGGCCCACUCUAUGAGUGGUUGAUUGGUUAGUUUAUUGUACCCGCCGACUGUGAAAUCCAGGAUGAUUUGUGAUUCCUGUUGUCAUUCAGUUUGUCAUUAGUUGCCAUUUGCAUGUGUGGUCGGCUUCAAGUGUAUUUGAUUGGUCUGUAUACGAUAUGUAAGGUUGAUGAUAGUCUUAUACAUGUUUCGAUUAGUACGUGAUCUGUGCAAAAUUAUGACUGAACAUGUAGAGAUGGGGGUACUGUGUGAACAUUAAAUCCCAUUAAGCAAUUCAAAUCUUGGCGAAUAUGACAUCCCAGUUUUACGAGCUAUUGUUGUCAGCUUCUUCCAAGUUGAAUUCGAUUAAAAAGUGAACGUCAUGUUUCUCUAAUGACCGCCAAAAAAUGUUUUCUUUGCAAUGCCAUUGUUGUAGGGUUCUGACUCUAGAUGGUUCUUCCUAAAUUUGUUCUAAGCAUAUUUAAGGUUUUCUUAUUACUGUAUUUUUAUCAUGGCUAUAUUCUUUAAUAGCCACCAUAGUACUGAUUGAUGAUUGGUUUUUGGAACAGAUCUUGCCAAACAAAAAAUUAGACCACAAUUGAUGUAUGAAGAUCUAUUUGUAGAUUGCCGUAACGCACAAGGAGAGUCUCACUGCCACUUUGGAGCACAUAAACCACCCUUUCGUCUCAGUUUUGAUUUGAAGACCACCCUGAUCAUUUGAGAUUUGGAUUGUCUGUGCAGAUUUUAUUGGUAGUUGGCAGGUCUGGCCCAUCCACAAUAUUUCCUAUCUUCUAUACUUGUAUGCUCAUGAUAAUGUUGUUUCAAACAUUUUAGAUAUUUCUUUGGGAUAUUGCCUUUAUGCAUAUAUAUCUCACAAACUGUUGUCUGCCGAAGUUAUCGAGAAAUAUUUGGUUUGGUUUGUUCUUUUUAGAUGUUUAUGCGGUAAGGAUUCUUUGUUUCACUGUUCAUGUUACUUAUGCCUGGUAGCUCAAUGGGAGAAAGUUAUAUAGUUAUCUUCCAGGUAUCAUGUUGAAGUAACUAUUUUCUAAAUCUCUAGCCUUCUCUUAGUUUGGAUUAUUCAAAAUCCUUUUCGUCAUUAGAAGAAGCUGAUGAUUAGUUCUUAUGUUUUUUUAAAGCCGUG
Molecule: long non-coding RNA, 1899 nt
Filed under: Triticum aestivum (bread wheat)
Lineage: Eukaryota; Viridiplantae; Streptophyta; Magnoliopsida; Poales; Poaceae
Description: long non-coding RNA (TAES_LNC027885)
Source: RNAcentral